Long non-coding RNA from Gallus gallus (chicken), 2593 nucleotides. RefSeq lists it as uncharacterized. The record is from RefSeq and is a predicted model, not a curated record. The transcript has 4 exons. Lineage: Eukaryota; Metazoa; Chordata; Aves; Galliformes; Phasianidae.
GUCGCCCCCCCCCCGGGCCACCCACUCGCGGCUGUCCCAGCGCGGCCGAGACCCGGGCCCGCUUCGCGUUUGCUUCCCCGAAGACCGGGACACCCCGACGGCACGGAGCAGCCCCGGCCCAUCUCCACAGAGUCACCACGAGCCGCCGUCUCCCCACGUCGAGGAACAGAGUUUAAAGGGAGAACUGCGGCGCUGGGGAAUGCUUUUGACCGCCGACCGGGGGGGUCAGCCCUGGGCCGGCUUUGGGGUCAGGGAAACCCGAGGAAAGCGGCCUCUUUGGGAGACGCGAUCCCCGCUUUCCCCUUUUGCUGUCGUCUUUCUGUCCCUCCCGUGGAAGCGGGACACUCCCGCACCCCGCGGAUGGCAACGGAGGGAAACGAUCCUCUCCGAACUCCGCCGCCCCGUUAGUCUGCUUUCGGCCGCGACUUUCGCCGAGAAACCCAAAAGCGCUGAGAGCAGCACACCGUCAGUCGAGCAAAAACUCCAGCGUUUCGGAGGAGCUCUCAAAAUACAGCCCUACCUCCGCCCGCCGCCGAAACCGGACCCGUUAGAAGAGGCUGCGGUGUUUCAAAACGGGUCGGGAGCACACGUUCUGAAGGUGAAAGCUGUCCUUGGGAACAGGAGAGGGAAAGUAUCAGUCACACAGAGGAAGCUUCAUGGUUGAAGAAUUAGGAAAAACCUUGUAUGAAAAGCACACACAAAGAGGAGUGUUUUUGCUCUGUUUGUCUGCAGACCUUUGAACAUGAUGAAAGUCAGUCUUUCUCUUCUUCAGGAUUUCUCCAGCACUGGGGAUGUGCUAUUAGCAUACCUUGGGAAACCUUACUGAAGUGGGGAUUUGCAGACAACUGUUUACCCUGAACGGAUUGCAAGCAUUAGACAGUGCAAAUAUUCACAGUGGCACUGGUAACACCAAUAUCCCUAACCCUCUGAACAUGUACAGUAUGGACUGGAUAGUUCAAAAAACUGAAGAGGCUCUCAGACCAAGCUGAGUGUUUGUGCAAUUAAUUCAAGAUAAACAUUCUCCCAGCUGCCUAUGCAGUGCUUUAAUGACCAUUAGAGGCCCACUGCUGAGGAGGUUUGUGCUUCAAUUCCACAACCAUAUGAGAUUUCAGGCAGGUCAGUAGAACAGGCUUUAAGCUGAGACAGAUAAAGCCAAGUGGGAGGAAAUGGGAGAACACAGAGAAUAUUAUUUAUCAUAAAUGCCUGAGAGAAUUGGCUGGAGACCUGAAAUGAAUUUAGGGGCAGAUAAAGCUGACAGAUAAAUCUUAGACAAAUCUAGGAUGAGAGAAGAGUGUGAUUGGAGAAAUAAAAUAGAUGUGGUGAUGAUAGCUGCUGGAAGAAGAGUGAAGCUCUGCAGAAGUUCAAGCUCAUUUUCAGUAAGAUGUUUUAUCUUUGGGGAUUACUCCAACAGAAACUACAACUCCUCGGAGAUUUGCCUCAACACCACUAAAAAUGCAUAGGUCUGAUACUGCAAACAGGGUUCCCAUGAAGGGGCUAAACUCCUCAUGAAUCAACAUUGUGGCCUUCGGCAUUAACAUGGCUUUCGGUCGGUGGGGGCUUUAUCAGAUGAUGUAAUGUUUGUAAUCCGAUAUCCCACUCCACAAUGCUAAUGAGGACAGAAAUGCCAUGGAACUGAGCCGUGCCAGAGUGAUCUUUGCUUCCCUAUGAGCUUCUGGUUAAACAGUUUAAUGAUUUCUUAAAUUCAGAGCCUAGGACACAUAACUUGUCCCAGGAGUUUGAUGUUUACUAUUUAGUUAAAUCAGACCUGCUGCUUAAUUAUUAAAGAGGAGAACUUCAGCCAUGCCCACCUCUGUUCUGGUCUACCACUGAUGUGCACUUUCAGUUUUGAUAUGCUACUUAUUAUUUGUAAAUGAAAUAAAGAAAGCACUCAGAUUGUUUGUGCAUUCACAUCUAUGUAUGCAUACGCCUAAAGCAGGGAUAUCUGAUAACUUGAUUUUAACAACAAAGCAAGUCAAAGAAGGAGUUUCAACUCUUAACUCUGAAUUUCCUGGAGUUUUACAGAUUAAAUCAAAUCCUUAAGGCCAUUUUAUCAUAGGUUUUUCUGUGCAAGCAUGUGAUUUAUGUCCUCUUUUUAUUGCGUGAACCUUUGUCUCUGCUAUUUGAUUCAGUCUACCAACAGCUGUCAGCUGAUUUUAUUUUAGUAUCUGUAAAUUUUUGCACACAAAGCUAGACAAAUGCAAUGCAGGGGCAAAUUAAAUCGUGGAAUUUAAUGCAAAGUCAAGUUGCUGGGUGAACAAGAUUUUAACUGCUGAUCUAAACCAGCUCUGCAUGUAAACAAUGGAUCUUUGGUAUUUACUGUAUACUAUCUGUCUAGAUACAAGGAUUACUGUUUCCUCCUCUGCAGCAACUGGCUGGAGGUUCUCACUAGUAGCUGUUAUUAGUAGCAAUGACACAUUAAUUGAACUUCACUGCUUCCAGGUGUGUGGCACACUCCGGGGUCACCCAGUGCACUACAGUUUCAUGUGUAUUCAAUUACUGUAGCGUUAUGAAGGAAUGCAACAUGUCAUACAUUAAAAUGUCAAUUACCAGUUUUUAUGGGAUAGUGGGUAAAAUAAACCAAUCAGUUCUCUUA